UACGGAGGGUGCAAGCGUUAAUCGGAAUUAAUGGGCGUAAAGCGCACGCAGGCGGUUUGUUAAGUCAGAUGUGAAAUCCCCGGGCUCAACCUGGGAACUGCAUCUGAUACUGGCAAGCUUGAGUCUCGUAGAGGGGGGUAGAAUUCCAGGUGUAGCGGUGAAAUGCGUAGAGAUCUGGAGGAAUACCGGUGGCGAAGGCGGCCCCCUGGACGAAGACUGACGCUCAGGUGCGAAAGCGUGGGGAGCAAACAG
Molecule: ribosomal RNA, 252 nt
Filed under: uncultured bacterium
Lineage: Bacteria
Description: partial 16S ribosomal RNA
Rfam family: Bacterial small subunit ribosomal RNA
Source: RNAcentral